RNAcentral lists this ribosomal RNA (251 nucleotides) under uncultured bacterium. Its description in RNAcentral is "partial 16S ribosomal RNA". It matches the Rfam family "Bacterial small subunit ribosomal RNA", at positions 524 to 776 of the family's 1533-position model. The record is from RNAcentral.
UACGGAGGGUGCAAGCGUUGUCCGGAAUCACUGGGCGUAAAGGGCGCGUAGGCGGCGCGGUAUGUCACCUGUGAAAUCUCCUGGCUCAACUGGGAGCUUGCAGGCGAAACUGCCGUGCUGGAGUGUGGGAGAGGUGCGUGGAAUUCCCGGUGUAGCGGUGAAAUGCGUAGAUAUCGGGGAACACCUGUGGCGAAAGCGGCGCACUGGACCACAACUGACGCUGAGGCGCGAAAGCUAGGGGAGCAAACAGG